Small nucleolar RNA from Cavia aperea (Brazilian guinea pig), 137 nucleotides. Lineage: Eukaryota; Metazoa; Chordata; Mammalia; Rodentia; Caviidae. The record is from Ensembl.
CUGGCCCUGAAUCAAGGCCAGCAUCUUCCUGAUGCUGUUGGUUUCAAGCAGGAGCCUAAAGAGACGUCUUUCAAUGGUCUUUUGGCCAUUUCAGAACUUGGGCAGUGAAAUGGUUAAUUCAUUAAAAAGAAACAGCU